Molecule: long non-coding RNA, 664 nt
Organism: Dermacentor andersoni
Lineage: Eukaryota; Metazoa; Arthropoda; Arachnida; Ixodida; Ixodidae
Source: RefSeq, a predicted model, not a curated record
GUAGUGACGUCAGAAGUGACGCUUACAGCCCUCGACCCUGCUCUUUUUUUUUCAAUGAUCAACACGCAGGGUGUGUGACAGCUGUCUUUUUCUCUCACUGUGGACUGACAGGGCGGACCUGCACAGCAAAAGUCUGCAAGGGCAACGCCUCAGCGAGGCUUGGCAAAGUAAGCAGCAACGAUUGAGCUACCAACUUUCAUCUUCAAAGUAGCACCACGAGGCUUUGCAAUGCCGUUUUGCGAACGGUGCAAAGGUAUGGCACCCCAAUCGAAGAAGGACGCAGGCGUCAGCAUUAUCACUCCGGGCUACAUGGCCUUGCUUCAGAGGAUGUGCACAACCACCAAGGCGACUGUUGAAGAUGUCAUCGCUGCCUUCAAGUUAUUACGCUCUUUUUUGGAUCGCAGAAACCCUGAGCGUUAUUCAGCACUAUCAUCGUUAUUGUCGACUUCAUCCUGCCGUGCCAAAAAACGCAGCGUCAAGUGCGGAUGCAACGUCAAGAAUCUGGCAACAAGCUGAAAAAAAUAAACAUGCAUUAGAGCUCAUGUGCAAUUGCAACUAACGCCCAGAAUGCCGAAGAAGCUUCACGUAACUACAGUCCCAUUUCUGCUGUUACCAAGUUUGACUGAUUGAAUAAUGUAAUAAAUGCCUGAUGCAAUCUUCACAA